AAGAAUUUAUGAUUUUCAAUUUAUCAUCCAUUCCUGUGGUUAUUUAACAUUUAUACUUAGUCAAAAAGUCAUAAGUCAUUUUACACUUUAAACAUUCAUUACCUGUGAAAUACGAACGUUUUAAAUGUUUCGUUUUUGUUUUAUUUCUAAGGUAAUCUAUAUUGGAUUGUCCGUCAGUCUUCUUGAACGUUCCCAAAUGAUGAGCCAUGAGGUAGUAUAUUUAUUUGUAUAACAUAAACAAUUCAAUGUUUUCAUCUAUUAAUUCAUUUAAAUCUAUUGUAGUUUGAUAACAAUAUCACUUAAUAAUGAAUGAAUAAACGUGCAUGUGCAAAACUGUCUGUCGCGUUUGCUGGUUUUCUGGGAUGAUCCAUUCAUUAUCAAACUUCACAAUACCUACCUAUGUGAAACUAUUUCGUUUAGUUGGCUGGAUAAACGUAAAAUUAUAACUUAUUUUAUUUUUAUUAUUAUGGGUAAUAUUUGCAGCAAAAUUUGAUUUCUGAUAUAUUUUUUUAAAAAGGACAGGAUGAGGUAGUGAUAGUCAAUGGGUGUCCAUGUAUUUAAAAAUCAAAAUUGAAAUACAGUGGAACCUCGAUAAAUCUAAAUAAAUGUCUUGUAAAAACUUCGAUUACUCAAAAAAACAAAAAGAAUUGUAGAUAACUUGAACAUUCUGCGUCCCGAAUAUAGACAUAUAAUGAGAAUAAUUUCAAAUGCACCUCCUAUCUAGUUAUAUUUUCUAUGUACAAAUUCUUUGUAUAAAAAAAAUAUACAUCAUAUAGUGCUCACUUAUAUUAAUUUAAUUGUGGUUUGUUAGUCAAAUUAUUGCUGUAUGUAAUCAUAGUAUUUUGACAGGCCAUAAACUAAUUUUUUCAUAUCUAGAUUUUUUAACUAACCUUUUCAGUCAUUAUUUUCUUUUAAGAUUAGUUUUUAAACUGUUGUUCAUAAAUUAUUAAAUCUGUAACCUUAAUGUUAAUAAAUUAAAUUUUUACAUAUUUUACAGUGCAAUUCAAAAUAUAUUAAAUAGUGACAUGUAUUGUUUUUAGAUGCAAAUUUAAUUUUUUUUUAUAGUUGUGUAUAUGAAGAACUAACCAUGUCAUCUACAAAUAGGAGUCACCAUAGUUCUGGCAGUUAUGGACCUACAAAAAUCAUAGAUGAUAUAAAAGAUUCAAGUUUUAAGCUUUCAUUCAAACAUGGUAAGGGUAUUUUUUCAUUAAUUUUCCGUUUAUAUUUUUUAUUUUUGCGAUUUUGACCUUCUUGUCCCAAUCUCAUCCAAUUCUGCUUGUUAGCUACUUUUAAUUUUUAGUCUGAUUCUUCAUUAAUACCAAUGUCCUGUAAAGUGUUGACUUACGCUGACUGUGAACUCAUGUUUAGUAACAAAUUUAACCACUGGUUAAAUAUUAUUGCUGAACAGACAUUGUAAGAGCGGGUCUUUUGAGAUUUCAUGUCCCUGUACUUAAUCUACCCAACUACAAUGGUGUUUUAAAUUUAUAAGAUGUUUUUUUUUUAGGAUGGAAAUGAGAAUUAGUCAGGAGAAAUGCGAAAAAUAAAAAUAGAACACAAUUUGACAUUUAUUUUUAUGGCCCGACCAAUAAGAAACUCAGAUCAUUAUGGGAAAUAAACUUACAAUUAAACUCUGAGACUUCACUAACAAUAAAAAACAUUACUUUCUAAAAAAAAACCAAUUGGAAUGGAUGAAUGGAAAGAAAUAAUUUUUGAUGCCAUUUCUAAAGUAAGAUAUUUUAUUGAAUGUUGUUUAAUUUUGGUUUAUAUAUAUUAUAAUGUGUUUUUUCGUUACGGGUUAGUGAGCCAGAGGCUCAGGCCUAAAAUAAAGGAAGCAGACACAGUUUUAGGUAAUUAAUUAUACUGACCACAGCUCGUGUAAUAGUAUUGCUUCAAUUAAUUUGUAUGGAUCAGUUCUUAAAUUUGUUCCACGUAAUUUUUCACUUAAACUGAUUUCCUCAAAAUUUGAUAUUGCGAUUCUUUUAUAGGGUUUUCCAAUUAGAGAGGGCCGAUCUUAUCUGCGCUGUAUAGCCUUAUCAUUUUGUUGAUGUCUUUCUAAUUUAUUGUUUAUUAUAU
RNAcentral lists this long non-coding RNA (2073 nucleotides) under Cinara cedri. Lineage: Eukaryota; Metazoa; Arthropoda; Insecta; Hemiptera; Aphididae. The record is from RNAcentral.